RNAcentral lists this ribosomal RNA (897 nucleotides) under uncultured marine archaeon. Its description in RNAcentral is "SSU rRNA". It matches the Rfam family "Archaeal small subunit ribosomal RNA", at positions 455 to 1354 of the family's 1478-position model. The record is from RNAcentral.
GUGCCACCACCCGCGGUAAUACCGGCGCCUCAUGUGGUGUUCGCUUUUAUUGGGCCUAAAACGUCCGUAGCCGGUCUGAUACAUUCUUGGGGAAAUCACCCAGCUCAACUGGUUGAAUUCUGCGAGGACGGUCAAACUUGGGACCGGGAGAGGUGUGGGGUACGCUCAGGGUAGGGGUGAAAUCCUGUCUUCCCGAGCGGACCACCUGUUGGGAAGGCGCCACACUAGAACGGAUCCGACGGUCAGGGACGAAGCCUAGGGGCACGAACCGGAUUAGAUACCCGGGUAGUCCUACGUGUAAACGCUGUGGACUUGAUGUUGGGGGUGCUCCGAGCACUCUCAGUGUCGAAGCGAAGGUGAUAAGUCCACUGCCUGGGAAGUACGGUCGCAAGGCUGAAACUUAAAGGAAUUGGGGGGGGAGCACCGCAACCUGAGGAUUGUGCGGUUUAAUUGGAUUCAACGCCCGAAAACUCACCAUAGCCGACGGACAUAUGAACGUCAGUGUAAUGAACUUACCCGAUUGUUCGAGAGGUAGUGCAUGGCCGCCGUCAGUUCGUACCGCAAGGCGUUUUGUUAAGUCAGAUAAUGAACGAGACCCUCAUCUCUAUUUGCUAACUAUAUCUCCGGAUUUAGUGCACUAUAGACAGACUGCUGGCGUUAAGUAAGAGGAAGGGGAGGGCAACGGUAGGUCAUAUGCUCCGAAUGCCAUGGGCUACCCGCGCAAUACAAAGGACGGGACAAUGGGCUGCUGCUCCGAAAGGAACCAUAGCUAUCCCGAAAUUCGUUCGUAGUUGGGUGGGAGGGCUGUAACUCGCCCUCAAGAAGCGGGAUUAGGUAGUAAUCGCAUUUAAAAAAGGGGGGGGGAAUUCCCCUCCUUCUUCGCACACACCGGCCGUC